GAUGAACGCUGGCGGCGUGCCUAAUACAUGCAAGUCGAGCGAACGGACGAGAAGCUUGCUUCUCUGAUGUUAGCGGCGGACGGGUGAGUAACACGUGGAUAACCUACCUAUUAGACUGGGAUAACUUCGGGAAACCGGAGCUAAUACCGGAUGAUAUUUUGAACCGCAUGGUUCAAAAGUGAAAGACGGUCUUGCUGUCACUUAUAGAUGGAUCCGCGCUGCAUUAGCUAGUUGGUAAGGUAACGGCUUACCAAGGCAACGAUGCAUAGCCGACCUGAGAGGGUGAUCGGCCACACUGGAACUGAGACACGGUCCAGACUCCUACGGGAGGCAGCAGUAGGGAAUCUUCCGCAAUGGGCGAAAGCCUGACGGAGCAACGCCGCGUGAGUGAUGAAGGUCUUCGGAUCGUAAAACUCUGUUAUUAGGGAAGAACAUAUGUGUAAGUAACUGUGCACAUCUUGACGGUACCUAAUCAGAAAGCCACGGCUAACUACGUG
This 497-nucleotide ribosomal RNA is filed under the name uncultured bacterium. Its description in RNAcentral is "partial 16S ribosomal RNA". It matches the Rfam family "Bacterial small subunit ribosomal RNA", at positions 28 to 507 of the family's 1533-position model. The record is from RNAcentral.